Molecule: ribosomal RNA, 467 nt
Filed under: uncultured bacterium
Lineage: Bacteria
Description: partial 16S ribosomal RNA
Rfam family: Bacterial small subunit ribosomal RNA
Source: RNAcentral
GAUGAACGCUGGCGGCGUGCUUAACACAUGCAAGUCGAACGAUGAUGCCCAGCUUGCUGGGUGGAUUAGUGGCGAACGGGUGAGUAACACGUGAGUAACCUGCCCUUGACUCUGGGAUAAGCCUGGGAAACUGGGUCUAAUACCGGAUACGACCAUCCGGCGCACGUCAUGGUGGUGGAAAGCUUUUGUGGUUUUGGAUGGACUCGCGGCCUAUCAGCUUGUUGGUGGGGUAAUGGCCUACCAAGGCGACGACGGGUAGCCGGCCUGAGAGGGUGACCGGCCACACUGGGACUGAGAUACGGCCCAGACUCCUACGGGAGGCAGCAGUGGGGAAUAUUGCACAAUGGGCGCAAGCCUGAUGCAGCAACGCCGCGUGAGGGAUGACGGCCUUCGGGUUGUAAACCUCUUUCGGUAGGGAAGAAGCGAAAGUGACGGUACCGGCAGAAGAAGCGCCGGCUAACUACGUG